GCUGCCUCAUAGACUAGUGCCUACUAUCAUCAUGCAUUUCAAUCUUGUAUUGGCUUCUGCUGUUCUCGUGUGUGUAUGUGUUGUCUCAGGUUUUACCCCACUCCGCUGCCAUUCUUGCUACGCUACGAGCGAGGAGAACCCUAAAGGCGUUGAUGACUGUCGUCACCUUACUAGUAAAGUUAAGGAAACUAGCGAAUGUUACGUAGGUUUAGAGGGAAUAUGCAUAUUUUAUGUUGGGAGUUACACAGGAAAAAACAACAAGACCGAAAAUGUAGUGGGGAGAUAUUGUGAUUAUAAAAAUUGCGACAACUUAAAGAAAUAUGGUUACGCAAACACACACUGUCAGGAAUGCAGAACCGGCUUUUGCAACACUGCCAAAUAUUGAUCAAUAGAACCAAGCCUCUAUAAGGAUUGUGCUGCAUACUACUAUUAUUAUUAACAUUAAUUGUUCUUUAAUAUUUUUGUUCUUUUUUCUUUGACAUUGCCCUCUGAACUACAAAAUGAUAUAAUUAUGUUAUAAUAUACGUAUUUACAGCAACAACC
This is a long non-coding RNA of Photinus pyralis (common eastern firefly), 543 nucleotides long. RefSeq lists it as uncharacterized. NCBI's taxonomy places the organism in Eukaryota, Metazoa, Arthropoda, Insecta, Coleoptera, Lampyridae. The transcript is spliced from 3 exons. The record is from RefSeq and is a predicted model, not a curated record.